UGCCAGCAGCCGCGGUAAUACGUAGGGGGCGAGCGUUAUUCGGAAUUACUGGGCGUAAAGGGUGCGUAGGCGGCCCAUCAAGUUAGACGUGAAAGCCCCGGGCUCAACCUGGGAAUUGCGUUUAAUACUGGUGAGCUAGAGUACGAGAGAGGAAAGUGGAAUUCCUAGUGUAGAGGUGAAAUUCGUAGAUAUUAGGAAGAACACCAGUGGCGAAGGCGACUUUCUGGUUCGUAACUGAUGCUGAGGCACGAAAGCGCGGGGAGCAAACAGGAUUAGAUA
RNAcentral lists this ribosomal RNA (279 nucleotides) under uncultured bacterium. Its description in RNAcentral is "partial 16S ribosomal RNA". It matches the Rfam family "Bacterial small subunit ribosomal RNA", at positions 506 to 784 of the family's 1533-position model. The record is from RNAcentral.